CAAACAUUUUAAAAUGUAUUCAUGUGAUUUGCAAUUAAUUUUCCUUCAAGUACUUAUUUCCAUAUGAACUUUAUGGUAUUCAAUUAAGAAUUAGAUUACGCCCUGCCCACUUUGGGAGGAGCCUUUUAUGCAUAUUUACCUAUGAAUAUCAGAAUUUGUUUUUGAAUUUGAUACUGUCACAUGACCUUAAAAUAAACUCUAUAGUGCAAACUGCUUAGCAACAGCAAUCGAACAUUCGAAAGUGAACAUGUUUCUUACUUAGUUGAGCUGUUGAAUGUUCAGUUUGGUGGUUUAGUUGCUAAAAGACCGAUCGAGCACUUCAGAAGAUCACACUUUAGCUGUCGUCUCAAUAUCUAGAAAAUUAAAUAUUAAAUAAGGGCAUUUUCAUUGUGUUCACGACAUUGUCGACGUAUUAAAUACAAGAGACAAGAAACAAGAAACAAGCCAAAGAAACAAGCCAAAAUAUCUGGUACUUGUACAUGUUGCCAUUAUUUGGAAACAAGAUCUUGGAGGAGUUACCGAAAGUAGAAAGUAAGGUCUCUUUUUCUUUGUAUUUUAAUUAAAACAUGUUUUAUCAA
This is a long non-coding RNA of Xenia sp. Carnegie-2017, 578 nucleotides long. RefSeq lists it as uncharacterized. The record is from RefSeq and is a predicted model, not a curated record. Lineage: Eukaryota; Metazoa; Cnidaria; Anthozoa; Malacalcyonacea; Xeniidae. The transcript is spliced from 2 exons.